Molecule: ribosomal RNA, 374 nt
Filed under: uncultured organism
Description: partial 16S ribosomal RNA
Rfam family: Bacterial small subunit ribosomal RNA
Source: RNAcentral
GUAGGUGGCAAGCGUUGUCCGGAAUUAUUGGGCGUAAAGCGCGCGCAGGUGGUUCUUUAAGUCUGAUGUGAAAGACCCCCGGGCUCAACCGGGGAGGGUCAUUGGAAACUGGGGAACUUGAGUGCAGGAGAGGAAAGUGGAAUUCCACGUGUAGCGGUGAAAUGCGUAGAUAUGUGGAGGAACACCAGUGGCGAGGGCGACUUUCUGGCCUGUAACUGACACUGAGGCGCGAAAGCGUGGGGAGCAAACAGGAUUAGAUACCCUGGUAGUCCACGCCGUAAACGAUGAGUGCUAAGUGUUGGGGGGUUUCCGCCCCUCAGUGCUGCAGCUAACGCAUUAAGCACUCCGCCUGGGGAGUACGGUCGCAAAGACUG